This 440-nucleotide ribosomal RNA is filed under the name uncultured bacterium. Its description in RNAcentral is "partial 16S ribosomal RNA". It matches the Rfam family "Bacterial small subunit ribosomal RNA", at positions 338 to 795 of the family's 1533-position model. The record is from RNAcentral.
CCUACGGGUGGCAGCAGUGGGGAAUAUUGCACAAUGGGGGAAACCCUGAUGCAGCGACGCCGCGUGAGUGAAGAAGUAUUUCUGUAUUUAAAGCUCUAUCAGCAGGGAAGAAAAUGACGGUACCUGUUUAAGAAUCCCCGGCUAACUACGUGCCAGCAGCCGUGGUAAUACGUAGGGGGCAAGCGUUAUCCGGAUUUACUGGGUGUAAAGGGAGCGUAGACGGUUAUGCAAGUCAGAAGGGAAAGCCCGGGGCUCAACUCCGGGACUGCCUAUGAAACUGUGUGACUGGAGUGCAGGGGAGGUAAGCGGAAUUCAUGGUGUAGCGGUGAAAUGCGUAGAUAUCAGGAGGAACACCAGUGGCGAAGGCGGCUUACUAAACUGUAACUGACGUUGAGGCUCGAAAGCGUGGGGAGCAAACAGGAUUAGAUACCCUUGUAGUC